This 254-nucleotide long non-coding RNA is filed under the name Elaeis guineensis (African oil palm). Its description in RNAcentral is "long non-coding RNA (EGUI_LNC072138)". The record is from RNAcentral. Lineage: Eukaryota; Viridiplantae; Streptophyta; Magnoliopsida; Arecales; Arecaceae.
CUGUAGAAUGAGCACCUUGUCCUUUCCCUCGACAAGAAGUUUUCAAGGAACUAUGCUGACUUUGCUAGCCCAAUCUCGAAAGUACUCUCAGGUGGAAGAAACCCUGGAUCCACUUGGCAGGAGGAGAGAAAGAAGAUCUCCGAGAAGUAGAAAAAUUGAAAAAAUUCCUGAGUAGCUCAAACCGAGAGGGAGUCUUUCCGAUUGCAAAAAAGCUACCCUCCAAAGAGUCACUAUAAGAAAUAAGACAAUUAGCU